Molecule: small RNA, 113 nt
Filed under: Salmonella enterica
Lineage: Bacteria; Pseudomonadati; Pseudomonadota; Gammaproteobacteria; Enterobacterales; Enterobacteriaceae
Also listed under: 5 other names
Description: partial RtT sRNA
Rfam family: RtT RNA
About the family: This family represents a bacterial cis-regulatory element known as RtT RNA. The exact function of RtT is unknown although it is thought that it may be involved in changing the cellular response in relation to amino acid starvation.
Source: RNAcentral
AGGAUGAGAAGCUUUGACUAAGGUUCGAUUCGAGCGCAGCGAGAAAGCGUUGCCGCAGGCAACGACCCGAAGGGUGAGGAGCGGAGCGACGAAUAAUCCUUCCCCCACCACCA